RNAcentral lists this long non-coding RNA (1543 nucleotides) under Anolis carolinensis (green anole). RNAcentral's name for it is "lncRNA (ENSACAG00000045299.1)". The record is from RNAcentral. Lineage: Eukaryota; Metazoa; Chordata; Lepidosauria; Squamata; Anolidae.
AUGCAGAGAAUCAUGGAAGAAAUGGAAGGAGGCCCAGGCAAGCUGUCAUUCAUUCCUACACACGCACACCCUCCAGGUCACUGGCAAGUGGGAGACCACCGAAAGGAUUCCAGCCAAUCAAUGGGUACUGAGUACAUCUUUUUCACUCAAGCCUGUGCUGAAAAGACUGCAGCAAAGCGUGCAAGGGAUUGUGGGAUAGGGAUGCAGCAGAGAGCUGCAAUGAGAUUUGCUGGGUGGAUUUCUUUCCCUUCCCCUUUCCUAGCCAGCAAUCAGCUGUUUCAAGGCAGAGUGAUGGCCCGCUGCAUUUCAUCACUGGAAUGUUUUUAUAGGAUUAGCAAGCAGCCUGCUCUGAUGCCAGAAGACACACAAACAGCUCAGGAAUCUGGCAGAGUCAAGGGCUACAAAAUCAGCACUGAGAGGCUAUGCCUUGCCUCCGAUGUACUUCGUAAUGAGAUCAUUGGAAAACAAGCUGAAAACAAGAGGCACGUGGACAUUAUUUUUCAGCAAAGUGAAGGAAAUAUUUUCUUGAAGUAUUUGUAAGAAUAUUUUCUCACAACCCUGUGUGGUUUGGUUUCUCCCUUCAGCAGAAUAGAGAUGGAAAGUAUUAGCUAAGAGAAUGAACUGCAAGCAAAGAAAUGGCAUAGUGUUGCCACCCCAAUUUCUGUAGAGUCUUUUUCAUAAUACUUAAUACUUAAACUGCCAUGGCUUCAUCCUAUGGAGUUGUGGGUCUUGUAGUUUCAUAAAUUGUUUGGAUGUUUCAACCAGAGAGCCCUAGUACACCACCAAACUUCAAAUCUCAGGAUUGCAUUGGAGGCAGUCAUGCUAGUUAAAAUGAUAAUUAAAUAUUAUAAUUUGGUUGUGUGAAAAAAACUAGGUUAUCUUAAGGAAUCACAAGUCAAAAUAAUGGGAUAACCAUUUUUAAAAUUGCGUCAGAAGUGACUUGAGGACAUACUGCAAGUCACUUCUGGUGUGAGAGAAUUGGCCGUCUACAGAGAAGUUGCCCAGGGGACGCCCAGAUGUGUCACCAUCCAUCUGCCCUUAAACAGGCCAUAGUGAGGCCCAUUCUGAAGAAGGCCUCCCUUGAUUCGACCAUGUUGAGCAAUUACAGACUAUCUCAAACCUACCUUUUUUGGGCAAGGUCCUGGAGCGGGUGGUUGCUUCGCAGCUCCAGGGUUUCCUGGAUGACACCGAUUUUCUGGACCCAUCUCAGUCCGGCUUUAGACCUGGUCAUAGUACUGAGACGACUUUGGUCGCCUGGACAGGAGGAGUGUGACCCUGCUGGUUCUCUUGGACAUCUCAGCGGCUUUCGAUACCAUCAACCAUGGUAUCCUCCUGGGUCGGCUCUCUGGGAUGGGCCUUGGGGGUACUGCUCUGCAGUGGCUUCAGUCCUUCCUGGAGGGCCAUUCCGAUUUUCUGGUGUGAAGCUGGGGGACACCUGCUCGGACCCCUGGCCAUUGACCUGUGGGGUCCCGCAAGGUUCCAUUCUGUCCCCAAUGCUUUUUAACAUCGACAUGAAACCGCUGGGAGAGGUCAUCCAGAGUUU